GAGAACGCUAGCGGCAGGCCUAACACAUGCAAGUCGAGGGGCAGCGGGGAUGAGCUUGCUCAUUUGCCGGCGACCGGCGCACGGGUGCGCAACGCGUAUAGAAUCUACCUUGUACUGGGGAAUAGCCCAGAGAAAUUUGGAUUAAGGCCCCAUGGUAUGUGGGAGCGGCAUCGCUCCCCCAUUAAAGGCUACGGUACAAGAUGACUAUGCGUCCCAUUAGUUAGUUGGUAAGGUAACGGCUUACCAAGGCAGCGAUGGGUAGGGGCCCUGAGAGGGGGAUCCCCCACACUGGUACUGAGACACGGACCAGACUCCUACGGGAGGCAGCAGUGAGGAAUAUUGGACAAUGGGCGGGAGCCUGAUCCAGCCAUGCCGCGUGCAGGAAGACGGUCCUAUGGAUUGUAAACUGCUUUUGUACGGGAAGAACAAGGGGCACGUGUGCCCCUCUGACGGUACCGUAAGAAUAAGGAUCGGCUAACUCCGUGCCAGCAGCCGCGGUAAUACGGAGGAUCCGAGCGUUAUCCGGAAUCAUUGGGUUUAAAGGGUCCGUAGGCGGGCCAUUAAGUCAGGGGUGAAAGUCUGCAGCUCAACUGUAGAAUUGCCCUUGAUACUGGUGGCCUUGAGUUAUAGUGAAGUAACUAGAAUAUGUAGUGUAGCGGUGAAAUGCAUAGAUAUUACAUAGAAUACCGAUUGCGAAGGCAGGUUACUAACUAUAUACUGACGCUGAUGGACGAAAGCGUGGGGAGCGAACAGGAUUAGAUACCCUGGUAGUCCACGCCGUAAACGAUGGAUACUAGCUGUCCGGAUGCAAAUCUGGGCGGCCAAGCGAAAGUGAUAAGUAUCCCACUGGG
Molecule: ribosomal RNA, 851 nt
Filed under: Arenibacter sp. MH161
Lineage: Bacteria; Pseudomonadati; Bacteroidota; Flavobacteriia; Flavobacteriales; Flavobacteriaceae
Description: bacterial SSU rRNA
Rfam family: Bacterial small subunit ribosomal RNA
Source: RNAcentral